This 468-nucleotide ribosomal RNA is filed under the name uncultured bacterium. Its description in RNAcentral is "partial 16S ribosomal RNA". It matches the Rfam family "Bacterial small subunit ribosomal RNA", at positions 28 to 507 of the family's 1533-position model. The record is from RNAcentral.
GACGAACGCUGGCGGCGUGCUUAACACAUGCAAGUCGAACGGAAAGGCCCUGCUUUUGUGGGGUGCUCGAGUGGCGAACGGGUGAGUAACACGUGAGUAACCUGCCCUUGACUUUGGGAUAACUUCAGGAAACUGGGGCUAAUACCGGAUAGGAGCUCCUGCUGCAUGGUGGGGGUUGGAAAGUUUCGGCGGUUGGGGAUGGACUCGCGGCUUAUCCGCUUGUUUGUGGGGUAGUGGCUUACCAAGGCUUUGAAGGGUAGCCCGCCUGAGAGGGGGACCGGCCACAUUGGGACUGAGAUACGGCCCAGACUCCAACGGGAGGCAGAAGGGGAGAAUAUUGCACAAUGGGCGGAAGCCUGAUGCAGCAGCGCCGCGUGCGUGAUGACGGCCUUCGGGUUGUAAACCACUUUCGCCUGUGACGAAGCGUGAGUGACGGUAAUGGGUAAAGAAGCACCGGCUAACUACGUG